Molecule: ribosomal RNA, 253 nt
Filed under: uncultured bacterium
Lineage: Bacteria
Description: partial 16S ribosomal RNA
Rfam family: Bacterial small subunit ribosomal RNA
Source: RNAcentral
UACGGGGGGGGCAAGCGUUGUUCGGAAUUACUGGGGGUAAAGGGCUUGUAGGCGGCCAACUAAGUCGGAUGUGAAAUCCCCAGGCUUAACUUGGGAACUGCAUCCGAUACUGGAUGGCUUGAAUCCGGGAGAGGGAUGCGGAAUUCCAGGUGUAGCGGUGAAAUGCGUAGAUAUCUGGAGGAACACCGGUGGCGAAGGCGGCAUCCUGGACCGGCAUUGACGCUGAUGAGCGAAAGCCAGGGGAGCAAACGGG